AUUGAACGCUGGCGGCAGGCUUAACACAUGCAAGUCGAGCGAGUGGCGGACGGGUGAGUAAUGUCUGGGAAACUGCCUGAUGGAGGGGGAUAACUACUGGAAAAGGUAGCUAAUACCGCAUACCAUCAGAUGUGCCCAGAUGGGUUUUGCUAGUAGGUGGGGUAAAGGCUCACCUAGGCGACGGUCCCUCGCUGGUCUGUGAGGAUGACCAGCCACACUGGAACUGAGCCACGGUCCAGACUCCUACGUGAGGCAGCAUUGGGGAAUAUGGCACAAUGGGCGCAAGCCUGAUGCAGCCAUGCUGCGGGGAUGAAGAAGGCCUUCGGGUUGUAAAGCACUUUCAGCGAGGAGGCGUUACUCGCAGAAGAAGCACCGGCUAACUCCGUGCCAGCAGCCGCGGUAAUAC
Molecule: ribosomal RNA, 406 nt
Filed under: uncultured bacterium
Lineage: Bacteria
Description: partial 16S ribosomal RNA
Rfam family: Bacterial small subunit ribosomal RNA
Source: RNAcentral